AGCAGCCGCGGGAACGACCGGCGGCCCGAGUGGUGAUCGUGAUAUUGGGUCUAAAGGGUCCGUAGCCGGUUUGGUCAGUCCUCCGGGAAAUCUGAUAGCUCAACUAUUAGGCUUUCGGGGGAUACUGCCAGACUUGGAACCGGGAGAGGUAAGAGGUACUACAGGGGUAGGAGUGAAAUCUUGUAAUCCCUGUGGGACCACCUGUGGCGAAGGCGUCUUACCAGAACGGGUUCGACGGUGAGGGACGAAAGCUGGGGGCACGAACCGGAUUAGAUACCCGGGUAGUCCCAGCCGUAAACGAUGCUCGCUAGGUGUCAGGCAUGGCGCGACCGUGUCUGGUGCCGCAGGGAAGCCGUGAAGCGAGCCACCUGGGAAGUACGGCCGCAAGGCUGAAACUUAAAGGAAUUGGCGGGGGAGCACAACAACGGGUGGAGCCCUGCGGUUUAAUUGGACUCAACGCCGGACAACUCACCGGGGGCGACAGCAAUAUGUAGGCCAAGCUGAAGACUUUGCCUGAAUCGCUGAGGAGUGGUGCAUGG
This 539-nucleotide ribosomal RNA is filed under the name uncultured archaeon. RNAcentral's name for it is "bacterial SSU rRNA". It matches the Rfam family "Archaeal small subunit ribosomal RNA", at positions 460 to 997 of the family's 1478-position model. The record is from RNAcentral.